CAUUGAAGGAAGGAGUGGGAAAGGGAAGUGAAGUGUGAGUGGGAGGGGUUUUACCGACAUGACAUUGGUGCGUGCUCCUCUCUUUAAUUAUAAAGCCAAAUUUGAUUUAUAUUUACUUCUGUUUUCUUUUUCUUUUUUAAUUAAUGAAAAAUUAAUUUAAAUGUGAUUAGUUUACUAUUCCUAGUACUAUGUCGCUAGUAUGUAUAUGAUUCUUGGCAAAUACUAGUAAUAUAAUGGUGUGAUUUACACAAGUCACAAAAAUACAAUUUAUAUAAAUCCAAUGUGUGUUUUAUAAAAAUAUGAACAUGAGUUAUAAAUAUAAAUAAACGACAACACAAGUCUGAGGAAGAAAUAAUGCAAAACUAGUGUGUUGUAUCAUGCAUUAUUUCAGUACUGUAAAAAAUUGUUUGUGAUGACAAUUGUUUUGGUUUAAUUAUCUGCAUGAACAAAGAAGAUGGGUGGUUGAGUGCUCCACACUAGACAAGUAGACAGAGAUAUCAACGAAACGACAGCGUUUAACGCAAGAACGAGGUCAUCGCUAUGUAGGAUUCAACCUUUUUUGUUGUUGGUUUGAGACAAAAGUGGACAUCGGAACUGGGGAAGUCACACUUUUAUCCAGGAACUGGAGAGGUCACAUGCAUGUGAGAUCAUCGUAACUAUAAUAUGACGAUCCACUUCUAACGGUCGAGUUUUCCCAACAACAUCUCAUCAUAUACUACUAAUUAAUAAACUCAUCACAUCUUCUGUUACUAGUUAUCAACUAAUCAUAUAGUAAUUAGUUGGCUUUUUAUGUAUUGUGAAUUGUGUGUUUAUAUAUUUAUCUAUAGAUAAAAAAUAAAAUCCCGU
Molecule: long non-coding RNA, 846 nt
Filed under: Capsella grandiflora
Lineage: Eukaryota; Viridiplantae; Streptophyta; Magnoliopsida; Brassicales; Brassicaceae
Description: long non-coding RNA (CGRA_LNC000770)
Source: RNAcentral